Urocitellus parryii (Arctic ground squirrel) is the source of this 234-nucleotide non-coding RNA. Lineage: Eukaryota; Metazoa; Chordata; Mammalia; Rodentia; Sciuridae. The record is from RefSeq and is a predicted model, not a curated record.
UCAACAGUGAGCAGCUGUCGCCCUAGCUAAGUGCUUAGGAACUAGGAGUUGAAAACAACUUCCACACCCUGGAGACAUGAGCUCUGCCCAGUCUUUUCCCUCCUCAGAAAUCAUCACUUUAAAGCACAUAUUCAAGAGAAUACAGUCUGCAGGAAAUCUGGAGGAAGACCUUCUAUGCUCAGGGUCCUUGUCACCCAAACUUCUAUUGUUCCAGGAUCGAACCCAGGACCUUGC